This 490-nucleotide ribosomal RNA is filed under the name uncultured bacterium. RNAcentral's name for it is "partial 16S ribosomal RNA". It matches the Rfam family "Bacterial small subunit ribosomal RNA", at positions 28 to 507 of the family's 1533-position model. The record is from RNAcentral.
GAUGAACGCUAGCUACAGGCUUAACACAUGCACGUCGCGGGGCAUCAUUGGGCUUGCUUGCUAUCCCCGAUGGCUACCGGAGCACGGGUGAGUAACGCCUAUCCCACCUGCCCUUCACCACGUGCUCCCCCGGCGAAAGUCGGACUAAUCCCCUAUGUUGUCCAUUCACGGCCUCCGAUCUGUACGAACUGCUUGGCAGCCGGGGCUGGGGAUGCGUCCGGUUAGCCAUACGGCGUGGCAACGGCCCACCGUGGCUGCGAUCCGUCGGGGUUAUGAGAGGAAGGUCCCCCACACGGGAACUGAGACACGGUCCAGACUCCUACGGGAGGCAGAAGUGAGGAAUAUUGGUCAAUGGGCGUAAGCCUGAACCAGCCAAGUAGCGUGCAGGAUGACGGCCCUAUGGGUUGUAAACUGCUUUUAUGCGGGGAUAAAGUGGCCCACGUGUGGGCUUUUGCAGGUACCGCAUGAAUAAGGACCGGCUAAUUCCGUG